UACGAAGGGGGCUAGCGUUGUUCGGAAUUACUGGGCGUAAAGCGUGCGCAGGCGGCUUCUCAAGUCAGGGGUGAAAGCCCAGAGCUCAACUCUGGAAUUGCCUUUGAGACUGAGUGGCUUGAGUACGAGAGAGGUGAGUGGAAUUCCCAGUGUAGAGGUGAAAUUCGUAGAUAUUGGGAAGAACACCGGUGGCGAAGGCGGCUCACUGGCCCGUUACUGACGCUCAGGCGCGACAGCGUGGGGAUCAAACAGG
RNAcentral lists this ribosomal RNA (253 nucleotides) under uncultured bacterium. Its description in RNAcentral is "partial 16S ribosomal RNA". It matches the Rfam family "Bacterial small subunit ribosomal RNA", at positions 524 to 776 of the family's 1533-position model. The record is from RNAcentral.